Molecule: ribosomal RNA, 209 nt
Filed under: uncultured bacterium
Lineage: Bacteria
Description: partial 16S ribosomal RNA
Rfam family: Bacterial small subunit ribosomal RNA
Source: RNAcentral
CAACUCGACUACAUGAAGCUGGAAUCGCUAGUAAUCGCAGAUCAGAAUGCUGCGGUGAAUACGUUCCCGGGUCUUGUACACACCGCCCGUCACACCAUGGGAGUUGGAAAUGCCCGAAGUCAGUGACCCAACCGUGGAGAAACUCGUUUCUCCGGAGGGAGCUGCCGAAGGCAGGUCUGAUAACUGGGGUGAAGUCGUAACAAGGUACC